AUCUAGAACCAGAAGAGCUUCUGAUUUACUCUGCUUUUGAGAGAGAGAGAGAGAGAGAGAGAGAGAGAGAGAGGGAGAGGGAGAAAGAGAGCGAGCCUAGAGAUCUGUUCUUGUGUUUUCUUUUCGAAAGCAAAACAAUAAGGAAAGCGGCGAUGAAGAGCUUCACAAAAUUGCUUACUCGAGUCGUUCGAAGAGAACUCUACAGAGAAGAUAAAGCCAUGUUCUCCUGUCGCCGCCUCUUCUUUGUUUCUUCUACAAGAGCUUCUUUGUUGCAGCAGAAUCAAAACACAUUUGACGCUUCCUAUCCGUUAAAAUCAUUGCCCACAUCAUCAUUCAACUCCACAAAAUGGGGCCUUCUUGGAGCACAGAAAAGGAGCAUGUUUAUUCAGACCCAGCCAACACCCAACCCUUCAUCUCUUAUGUUCUACCCUGGGAAGCCAGUUAUGGAAGUUGGAAGUGCAGACUUUCCAAAUGCUCGUUCAGCCAUGAAUUCUCCUCUAGCAAAAGCUCUCUAUGGCAUUGAUGGAAUUACUCGAGUAUUCUUUGGAUCGGAUUUUGUAACUGUGACAAAGUCAGAUGAUGUAUAUUGGGACCUCUUAAAACCUGAAAUUUUUGCAGCAAUCAUGGACUUCUAUACUUCUGGACAGCCACUGUUUAUAGACUCCAGUGUUGCAGCUUCCAUGGACACUGCUAUUCGUGAGGACGAUUCAGAGACUGUUGCUAUGAUCAAAGAACUACUGGAGACUCGUAUCCGACCAGCAGUUCAAGAUGAUGGUGGUGACAUUGAGUAUCGAGGAUUUAACCCAGAAACUGGAGUGGUUAAACUAAGGAUGCAAGGUGCAUGUAGUGGCUGUCCUAGUUCAUCUGUGACCCUGAAAUCAGGCAUUGAAAACAUGCUAAUGCAUUAUGUGCAAGAGGUUAAAGGUGUUGAACAAGAACUAGAUGAUGAAGAGGAAGCAGUAAAUCUUACCAGCCAGAUGGAUUAACUCUCAUUAAACGGUGAAGUCAGGUUGAGUUCAGAUUAGCCAAAACCCAUAGCAUACAUGGCCACACCAGAAACCUAAGCUGUGCAGAAGAUCAUUACCAUGUUAUUUGUUCCAGUGUUACUUAUUUUCUUCGUCAUCUUUUUCUGUCUUCCUUGUGACGGAACAAAAUGGUUCAGGGUUUGAAAAUUUAAAUGAGAGGUCAUGGGUAAAACUGGUUUUAUUGGUCAGGUGGACCUGUUUCUAUGAACUACAGUCCUGAAUGAUAUUGACACUAAAAUCCAGCAGUGAACGAACAGUAUAUAGACCUUUGGAUGGAAGGAGCAGCAUGAGUUUUCAGAAGGUUUACACGGGAGUAUUAUUUCACAAUGUAGCAGUGCACACCAUGUCUGUUCUCUACUAAAAUGACAUCAGUGUAAUAAAUUAUCUAUGGGGAAUGAGUACGAAAUCAGGGUGUUUAAGAGCA
Macadamia integrifolia is the source of this 1449-nucleotide RNA transcript. It is a transcript of the gene named nifU-like protein 4, mitochondrial, with no coding region annotated. NCBI's taxonomy places the organism in Eukaryota, Viridiplantae, Streptophyta, Magnoliopsida, Proteales, Proteaceae. The transcript has 9 exons. The record is from RefSeq and is a predicted model, not a curated record.